GCGAGAUUGGUCAAGUGGUUAAGACGUCCCCUUUACACGGGGAAGAUCACCGGUUCGAACCCGGUAUUUCGCU
RNAcentral lists this transfer RNA (73 nucleotides) under seawater metagenome. RNAcentral describes it as "tRNA-Val". It matches the Rfam family "tRNA". From Rfam's summary of the family: Transfer RNA (tRNA) molecules are approximately 80 nucleotides in length. Their secondary structure includes four short double-helical elements and three loops (D, anti-codon, and T loops). Further hydrogen bonds mediate the characteristic L-shaped molecular structure. tRNAs have two regions of fundamental functional importance: the anti-codon, which is responsible for specific mRNA codon recognition, and the 3' end, to which the tRNAs corresponding amino acid is attached (by aminoacyl-tRNA synthetases). tRNAs cope with the degeneracy of the genetic code in two manners: having more than one tRNA (with a specific anti-codon) for a particular amino acid; and 'wobble' base-pairing, i.e. permitting non-standard base-pairing at the 3rd anti-codon position. The record is from RNAcentral.